Molecule: ribosomal RNA, 258 nt
Filed under: uncultured bacterium
Lineage: Bacteria
Description: partial 16S ribosomal RNA
Rfam family: Bacterial small subunit ribosomal RNA
Source: RNAcentral
GUCCACGCCGUAAACGAUGUCUACUUGGAGGUUGUGGCCUUGAGCCGUGGCUUUCGGAGCUAACGCGUUAAGUAGACCGCCUGGGGAGUACGGUCGCAAGAUUAAAACUCAAAUGAAUUGACGGGGGCCCGCACAAGCGGUGGAGCAUGUGGUUUAAUUCGAUGCAACGCGAAGAACCUUACCAUCCCUUGACAUCCAGAGAAUUUUCUAGAGAUAGAUUAGUGCCUUCGGGAACUCUGAGACAGGUGCUGCAUGGCU